Molecule: ribosomal RNA, 822 nt
Filed under: uncultured bacterium
Lineage: Bacteria
Description: bacterial SSU rRNA
Rfam family: Bacterial small subunit ribosomal RNA
Source: RNAcentral
GAGUUUGAUCCUGGCUCAGGAUGAACGCUAGCGGCAGGCCUAACACAUGCAAGUCGAGGGGUAACAGAGAGAAGCUUGCUUUUCUGCUGACGACCGGCGCACGGGUGCGUAACGCGUAUACAAUCUGCCUUAUACAGAGGGAUAGCCUUUAGAAAUGAAGAUUAAUACCUUAUAGUCUAUUUUUAUAGCAUUAUAUAAAUAGUAAAGCUUCGGUGGUAUAAGAUGAGUAUGCGUCCUAUUAGUUAGUUGGUAAGGUAACGGCUUACCAAGACAACGAUAGGUAGGGGCCCUGAGAGGGGGAUCCCCCACACUGGUACUGAGACACGGACCAGACUCCUACGGGAGGCAGCAGUGAGGAAUAUUGGACAAUGGAGGCAACUCUGAUCCAGCCAUGCCGCGUGCAGGAAGACGGCCCUAUGGGUUGUAAACUGCUUUUAUAUAGGAAGAAACCUUUUCACGUGUGAGAAGCUGACGGUACUAUAAGAAUAAGGACCGGCUAACUCCGUGCCAGCAGCCGCGGUAAUACGGAGGGUCCGAGCGUUAUCCGGAAUCAUUGGGUUUAAAGGGUCCGUAGGCGGGAAUCUAAGUCAGUGGUGAAAUCUUGCAGCUCAACUGUAAAAUUGCCAUUGAUACUGGAUUUCUUGAAUUAGUGUGAAGUGGUUAGAAUGUGUAGUGUAGCGGUGAAAUGCAUAGAUAUUACACAGAAUACCAAUUGCGAAGGCAGAUCACUAACACUAUAUUGACGCUGAGGGACGAAAGCGUGGGGAGCGAACAGGAUUAGAUACCCUGGUAGUCCACGCCGUAAACGAUGGAUACUAGCUG